GAUGAACGCUGGCGGCGUGCCUAAUACAUGCAAGUCGAGCAAACAGACGAGGAGCUUGCUCCUCUGACGUUAGCGGCGGACGGGUGAGUAACACGUGGAUAACCUACCUAUAAGACUGGGAUAACUUCGGGAAACCGGAGCUAAUACCGGAUAAUAUAUUGAACCGCAUGGUUCAAUAGUGAAAGACGGUUUUGCUGUCACUUAUAGAUGGAUCCGCGCCGCAUUAGCUAGUUGGUAAGGUAACGGCUUACCAAGGCGACGAUGCGUAGCCGACCUGAGAGGGUGAUCGGCCACACUGGAACUGAGACACGGUCCAGACUCCUACGGGAGGCAGCAGUAGGGAAUCUUCCGCAAUGGGCGAAAGCCUGACGGAGCAACGCCGCGUGAGUGAUGAAGGUCUUCGGAUCGUAAAACUCUGUUAUUAGGGAAGAACAAAUGUGUAAGUAACUAUGCACGUCUUGACGGUACCUAAUCAGAAAGCCACGGCUAACUACGUG
RNAcentral lists this ribosomal RNA (497 nucleotides) under uncultured bacterium. Its description in RNAcentral is "partial 16S ribosomal RNA". It matches the Rfam family "Bacterial small subunit ribosomal RNA", at positions 28 to 507 of the family's 1533-position model. The record is from RNAcentral.